GGAACAGGACGUCAUAGAGGGUGAGAAUCCCGUAUGCGACCGGCGAUCAACCCCAUGUGAAACCCCUUCGACGAGUCGAGUUGUUUGGGAAUGCAGCUCAAAAUGGGUGGUAAAUUUCAUCUAAAGCUAAAUACCGGCCAGAGACCGAUAGCGCACAAGUAGAGUGAUCGAAAGAUGAAAAGCACUUUGGAAAGAGAGUCAAACAGUACGUGAAAUUGUUGAAAGGGAAGCGCUUGCAACCAGACCUGCCCCUGGGCGAUCAGCCGCUAUUCUUUAGCGGUGCACUCGUCCUCGUUCAGGCCAGCAUCGGUUCGGGCGGCCGGAUAAAGGCCCCGGGAAUGUAGCUCCCUUCGGGGAGUCUUAUAGCCCGGGGUGCAAUGCGGCCAGCCCGGACCGAGGACCGCGCUUCGGCUAGGAUGCUGGCAUAAUGGUUGUAAGCGACCCGUCUUGAAACACGGACCAAGGAGUCUAACAUCUAUGCGAGUGUUUGGGUGUCAAACCCAUGCGCGGAAUGAAAGUGAACGGAGGUGGGAACCCGCAAGGGCGCACCAUCGACCGAUCCAGAUGUCUUCGGAUGGAUUUGAGUACGAGCAUAGCUGUUGGGACCCGAAAGAUGGUGAACUAUGCCUGAAUAGGGUGAAGCCAGAGGAAACUCUGGUACUCGCAGCGGUUCUGACGUGCAAAUCGAUCGUCAAAUUUGGGUAUA
RNAcentral lists this ribosomal RNA (706 nucleotides) under Lecidea hassei. Its description in RNAcentral is "partial large subunit ribosomal RNA". It matches the Rfam family "Eukaryotic large subunit ribosomal RNA", at positions 192 to 919 of the family's 3401-position model. Lineage: Eukaryota; Fungi; Ascomycota; Lecanoromycetes; Lecideales; Lecideaceae. The record is from RNAcentral.